AACGAACGCUGGCGGUAUGCCUAACACAUGCAAGUCGCACGAGAAAGUACUUCGGUAUGAGUAGAGUGGCGCACGGGUGAGUAACACGUAGGUGACCUUCCGAAUAGUGGGGAUAACUCGGAGAAAUCCGGGCUAAUACCGCAUAUGUACGACAAAUCUGAGAGUAGUCGUAGAAAGAAUGCCUCUACUUGUAAGCAUUCGCUAAUCGAUGGGCCUGCGGAGCAUUAGCUAGUUGGUGGGGUAAGUGGCCUACCAAGGCUACGAUGCUUAACGGAUCUGAGAGGAUGAUCCGUCACACUGGAACUGAGACACGGUCCAGACUCCUACGGGAGGCAGCAGUGGGGAAUAUUGCGCAAUGGACGCAAGUCUGACGCAGCAAUACCGCGUGAGUGAGGAAGG
This 399-nucleotide ribosomal RNA is filed under the name uncultured bacterium. RNAcentral describes it as "bacterial SSU rRNA". It matches the Rfam family "Bacterial small subunit ribosomal RNA", at positions 29 to 414 of the family's 1533-position model. The record is from RNAcentral.